This 461-nucleotide ribosomal RNA is filed under the name uncultured bacterium. RNAcentral describes it as "bacterial SSU rRNA". It matches the Rfam family "Bacterial small subunit ribosomal RNA", at positions 337 to 794 of the family's 1533-position model. The record is from RNAcentral.
ACCUACGGGAGGCAGCAGUAAGGAAUAUUGGACAAUGGCCGCAAGGCUGAUCCAGCCAUCCAGCGUGCAGGAAGAAGGCCCUAUGGGUUGUAAACUGCUUUUAUCAGGGAAGAAACCUCUGGAUUCACUCCGGAGCUGACGGUACCUGAAGAAUAAGCACCGGCUAACUCCGUGCCAGCAGCCGCGGUAAUACGGAGGGUGCGAGCGUUAUCCGGAAUUACUGGGUUUAAAGGGUGCGUAGGCGGCUUUGUAAGUCAGGAGUGAAAGUUUGCAGCUCAACUGUAAAAUUGCUUUUGAUACUGCGAGGCUAGAAUUAGGAUGAGGUCAGCGGAAUGUGGCAUGUAGCGGUGAAAUGCAUAGAUAUGCCAUAGAACACCAAUUGCGAAGGCAGCUGGCUAGACCUGGAUUGACGCUGAGGCACGAAAGCGUGGGGAGCGAACAGGAUUAGAUACCCUGGUAGC